UGGGGAAUUUUGGACAAUGGGGGAAACCCUGAUCCAGCCAUCCCGCGUGUGCGAUGAAGGCCUUCGGGUUGUAAAGCACUUUUGGCAGGAAAGAAACGUCAUGGGUUAAUACCCCGUGAAACUGACGGUACCUGCAGAAUAAGCACCGGCUAACUACGUGCCAGCAGCCGCGGUAAUACGUAGGGUGCAAGCGUUAAUCGGAAUUACUGGGCGUAAAGCGUGCGCAGGCGGUUCGGAAAGAAAGAUGUGAAAUCCCAGAGCUCAACUUUGGAACUGCAAUUUUAACGACCGGGCUAGAGUGGGUGAGAGGGAAGUGGAAUUCCGCGUGUAGCAGUGAAAUGCGUAGAUAUGCGGAGGAACACCGAUGGCGAAGGCAGCCUCCUGGGAUAACACUGACGCUCAUGCACGAAAGCGUGGGGAGCAAACAGG
This 429-nucleotide ribosomal RNA is filed under the name Acidobacteriota bacterium. RNAcentral's name for it is "Acidobacteria bacterium partial 16S ribosomal RNA". It matches the Rfam family "Bacterial small subunit ribosomal RNA", at positions 355 to 776 of the family's 1533-position model. Lineage: Bacteria; Pseudomonadati; Acidobacteriota. The record is from RNAcentral.